This 2669-nucleotide small RNA is filed under the name Pongo abelii (Sumatran orangutan). Its description in RNAcentral is "processed transcript". Lineage: Eukaryota; Metazoa; Chordata; Mammalia; Primates; Hominidae. The record is from RNAcentral.
UCGGAGGUGUCAACUGCUUUCGCUUCUGCUUGAUAUAUGUUUAAUAGACCAUACAGCAGAAAAUUGGAGGCCGAAGCUGACAAAAUUGGACUACUGCUUGCUGCAAAGGCUUGUGCAGACAUAAGAGCCAGUUCAGUGUUUUGGCAGCAAAUGGAGUUUGUUGAUAGCCUGCAUGGCCAACCCAAGAUGCCAGAAUGGUUAUCUACACACCCUUCUCAUGGCAAUCGAGUUGAGCACUUGGAUAGACUUAUACCUCAGAUUUGGUGGGUCUUGAAUGCCCCUGAAAACCAUUCUGCUCCAUUUCAAAAGUACUUCCCAGUCUUCGUAGUUUAUCUAAACGCAAGUUCACUGCCUUGGAGAGUGUGAGUCCAAGAAGAAAUCCUUUGGGCUAUUUCCUUGGCUUCUCUCCAUGACGAUUCCUGACUCGUGGCCCUGGCAAUCUUGGGAAGACAUCAUCCAGCUUCUUCAGUCCAGACCCUGGGCCCCCCCCUUUCGCCAGGAUCGCCACCACCCAGCCUGGACACAUUGACUGAACUGUUUUCUAGGACACUGCACUCAGCAAGACAUGGUGGUGAGCCCUGACUCUCAGUCUUCAUGAUUGAAGAACUCUUUUGUACAACGCAAAGCACUCAAAAAGAGUGAAUGAAAUGUGCAGCUCAGAGUGUCAUUUCUGAAGGGAGGAGUCUUUCUCUUGGAGAAGAGUCCUCAAUGAGCCUGGCCGAGGCCCGGGAUCUGUGUGAAGUGGACUAAGGAUUAAGUAGGAUGUCAACUGAGACAGAACUUCAAGUAGCUGUGAAAACCAGCGCCAAGAAAGACUCCAGAAAGAAAGGUCAGGAUCGCAGUGAAGCCACUUUGAUAAAGAGGUUUAAAGGUGAAGGGGUCCGGUACAAAGCCAAAUUGAUCGGGAUUGAUGAAGUUUCCGCAGCUCGGGGAGACAAGUUAUGUCAAGAUUCCAUGAUGAAACUCAAGGGCGUUGUUGCUGGCGCUCGUUCCAAAGGAGAACACAAACAGAAAAUCUUUUUAACCAUCUCCUUUGGAGGAAUCAAAAUCUUUGAUGAGAAGACAGGGGCCCUUCAGCAUCAUCAUGCUGUUCAUGAAAUAUCCUACAUUGCAAAGGACAUUACAGAUCACCGGGCCUUUGGAUAUGUUUGUGGGAAGGAAGGGAAUCACAGAUUUGUGGCCAUAAAAACAGCCCAGGCGGCUGAACCUGUUAUUCUGGACUUGAGAGAUCUCUUUCAACUCAUUUAUGAAUUGAAGCAAAGAGAAGAAUUAGAAAAAAAGGCACAAAAGGAUAAGCAGUGUGAACAAGCUGUGUACCAGACAAUAUUGGAGGAGGAUGUUGAAGAUCCUGUGUACCAGUACAUUGUGUUUGAGGCUGGACAUGAGCCAAUCCGUGAUCCCGAAACGGAAGAAAACAUUUAUCAGGUUCCCACCAGCCAAAAGAAGGAAGGUGUUUAUGAUGUGCCAAAAAGUCAACCUGCUGUGACCCAAUUAGAACUUUUUGGGGACAUGUCCACACCCCCUGAUAUAACCUCUCCCCCCACUCCUGCAACUCCAGGUGAUGCCUUUAUCCCAUCUUCAUCUCAGACCCUUCCAGCGAGUGCAGAUGUGUUUAGUUCUGUACCUUUCGGCACUGCUGCUGUACCCUCAGGUUACGUUGCAAUGGGCACUGUCCUCCCGUCCUUCUGGGGCCAGCAGCCCCUCGUCCAACAGCAGAUGGUCAUGGGUGCCCAGCCACCAGUCGCUCAGGUGAUGCCAGGGGCUCAGCCCAUCGCAUGGGGCCAGCCAGGUCUCUUCCCUGCCACUCAGCAGCCCUGGCCAACUGUGGCCGGGCAGUUUCCGCCAGCAGCCUUCAUGCCCACACAAACUGUUAUGCCUUUGCCAGCUGCCAUGUUCCAAGGUCCCCUCACCCCCCUUGCCACCGUCCCAGGCACGAGUGACUCCACCAGGUCAAGUCCACAGACCGACAAGCCCAGGCAGAAAAUGGGGAAAGAAACAUUUAAGGAUUUCCAGAUGGCGCAGCCUCCUCCCGUGCCCUCCCGCAAACCCGACCAGCCCUCCCUCACCUGUACCUCAGAGGCCUUCUCCAGUUACUUCAACAAAGUCGGGGUGGCACAGGAUACAGACGACUGUGAUGACUUUGACAUCUCCCAGUUGAAUUUGACCCCUGUGACUUCUACCACACCAUCGACCAACUCACCUCCAACCCCAGCCCCUAGACAGAGCUCUCCAUCCAAAUCAUCUGCAUCCCAUGCCAGUGAUCCUACCACAGAUGACAUUUUUGAAGAGGGCUUUGAAAGUCCCAGCAAAAGCGAAGAGCAAGAAGCUCCUGAUGGAUCACAGGCCUCAUCCAACAGUGAUCCAUUUGGUGAGCCCAGUGGGGAGCCCAGUGGUGAUAAUAUAAGUCCACAGGCCGGUAGCUAGAUAGCGCAGGUCUGGGAGCCGGAGCCUCUCUACGCGCAGAUCAACAGACCUAAGAAAUAGCAUCGAUGCGAGCUCGUGGUGGGUGCUCAAGACUGGCAUGGACAUCAGCAUCACGACAGGCUCUCUUGUAUUCUUUCACCUCAUCCCACAAGAAAUUCAUGAUUGCCCAAUGGAACUCGCUCAGAAGAGGGAACUAAGCGUUUUUGGCAACCAAUGGCAGAUAUCUAUGGCAGCACACAAAAAAA